GGAAGGAAGGAAAUUAUUUCCCUUCUCAGCCGACGUCAAUAUAAGGAGAUGAUGUUGGCUGUUUUGGAAAAGAAGCGUCUUCGAAUGUCCCCACUUGAUAUGAGAUUUCAUCUUCGUGAUUUGAUUGGUUCUGGUCAUCUCAGAAGUGACCAGACUCCAGCUGGUAUAAUUAUCAGAGUAUCAAAAGAUUAG
Molecule: non-coding RNA, 192 nt
Organism: Vicia faba (fava bean)
Lineage: Eukaryota; Viridiplantae; Streptophyta; Magnoliopsida; Fabales; Fabaceae
Source: the annotation of a GenBank genome assembly